This 4193-nucleotide long non-coding RNA is filed under the name Xyrichtys novacula (pearly razorfish). Lineage: Eukaryota; Metazoa; Chordata; Actinopteri; Labriformes; Labridae. The record is from RNAcentral.
CCUCGACAUAAAUACACCGUUUUAUUGAGUAAAGUGUAUUUUAGAGGACGACGACGACUGACGUUACAAACACAGAAAAUAUCAAAUCAAAGAAAAUGUAAUUUUACUGAAAUUAGGCCUUUCAAAAUAAGAACCUGAGGAGGAGCACGACAUUACACAGGCCUUUCAAAAUAAAAACCUGAGGAGGAGCACGACAUUACACAGGCCUUUCAAAAUAAAAGACAUGUCAAACACAGGCCUUUCAAAAUAAAAGACAUGUCAAACACAGGCCUUUCAAAAUAAAAGACAUGUCAAACACAGGCCUUUCAAAAUAAACGACAUGUUAAACACAGCCCUUUCAAAAUAAAAGACAUGUAAAACACUGGCCUUUCAAAAUAAAAGACAUGUCAAACACAGGCCUUUCAAAAUAAAAGACAUGUCAAACACAGGCCUUUCAAAAUAAAAGACAUGUCAAACACAGGCCUUUCAAAAUAAGAACCUGAGGAGGAGCACGACAUUACACAGGCCUUUCAAAAUAAAAGACAUGUCAAACACAGGCCUUUCAAAAUAAACGACAUGUCAAACACAGGCCUUUCAAAAUAAAAGACAUGUCAAACACAGGCCUUUCAAAAUAAACGACAUGUAUAACACUGGCCUUUCAAAAUAAACGACAUGUCAAACACAGGCCUUUCAAAAUAAAAGACAUGUCAAACACAGGCCUUUCAAAAUAAAAGACAUGUAAAACACAGGCCUUUCAAAAUAAACGACAUGUCAAACACAGGCCUUUCAAAAUAAAAGACAUGUAAAACACUGGCCUUUCAAAAUAAAAGACAUGUCAAACACAGGCCUUUCAAAAUAAAAGACAUGUCAAACACAGGCCUUUCAAAAUAAAAGACAUGUCAAACACAGGCCUUUCAAAAUAAGAACCUGAGGAGGAGCACGACAUUACACAGGCCUUUCAAAAUAAACGACAUGUCAAACACUGGCCUUUCAAAAUAAACGACAUGUCAAACACAGGCCUUUCAAAAUAAAAGACAUGUCAAACACAGGCCUUUCAAAAUAAACGACAUGUAUAACACUGGCCUUUCAAAAUAAACGACAUGUCAAACACAGGCCUUUCAAAAUAAAAGACAUGUCAAACACAGGCCUUUCAAAAUAAAAGACAUGUAAAACACAGGCCUUUCAAAAUAAACGACAUGUCAAACACAGGCCUUUCAAAAUAAAAGACAUGUAAAACACUGGCCUUUCAAAAUAAAAGACAUGUCAAACACAGGCCUUUCAAAAUAAAAGACAUGUCAAACACAGGCCUUUCAAAAUAAAAGACAUGUCAAACACAGGCCUUUCAAAAUAAAAGACACGUCAAACACAGGCCUUUCAAAAUAAAAGACAUGUCAAACACAGGCCUUUCAAAAUAAACGACAUGUCAAACACUGGCCUUUCAAAAUAAAAGACAUGUCAAACACGGGCCUUUCAAAAUAAAAGACAUGUAUAACACAGGCCUUUCAAAAUAAAAGACAUGUCAAACACUGGCCUUUCAAAAUAAAAGACAUGUCAAACACAGGCCUUUCAAAAUAAAAGACAUGUAUAACACAGGCCUUUCAAAAUAAAAGACAUGUAAAACACAGGCCUUUCAAAAUAAAAGACAUGUAUAACACUGGCCUUUCAAAAUAAAAGACAUGUAAAACAUCAGAUGUGCAUGAAAUAUUUACUGUUUUGAUCAGCUGUUCGUGACCCAACCAGAACAUGUCUGUGACCCACUUUUGGGUCGGGACCCACCAGUUGAGAACCACUGGGCUACAGGUCUUGGACCCCCUGCUGGUCCAGGAUCAGGGUUUACAGAGACGGUUUAACAGGCAGCAGAUUAAAGUUUAUUUAGACGAGACUGAAACAGUAAACUGAGAGCAGCUGAAGCUCUGCAGACACACACUAAUACACACACACACACACACACACACACACACCUUCUAGGAACCCUGAGAGUGUGUGUGUGUGUGUGUGUGUGUGUGUGUGUGUGUGUGUGUGUGUGUCCGGCUCUUUCUAAGAAGGAGCAGCAGCUGCAGGACAUGGAGGUUAAAGACGGACGGAUCGGCGGUCUGGAUGAUGAGUCAGCUGAGUCUCAGUUUCGUUUUCUCGCUCGUGAUGUUUCUGCGUUUCAUCAGAGCGUCUCAGAGGUCAGAGGUCACAGGAUUAAACGUAAACACUGAACAUCUCUGCAGAUCUGAGGGAACAGAGAGAAGAAGGAGAAGAAAACAAGGAGGAAAAUAAAAACCUAAGAAAGAAAAUCACAAACUUUAAAGGAGCAGGAAACAAAACGAUUAAAUAAAACAAAAACAAACAGCUGAGUGUGUGUGUGUGUGUGUGUGUGUGUGUGUGUGUGUGUGUGUAUCAGGCUGAGAGCAUCCUGUAACUGGAAGUCACAUGACUCUGAAGAGAAAUCCCCACUUCCUCCUCCUCUGUCCUUAUAUGGUCAUGUCUCCUCUGCCUGUUGGAGCCCCGCCCCCUGCAGGAAAACCACUAUUGUGACUCCCCCCUCCUCCCCCUUCUUAUCAGAUGUAUGUUUUUAUUGCUCACACACACACACACACACACACACACACAGGUUGUUGUGAUGAAAUGAUUGAUAUUUCAAACCCGAUUAUUGAUGAUCUUUACAGGUUUUUCUCUCUAUCUGACAGCAGAAUGAGAAUUUAUACAGUUUAUCUAAAUUUGUCCAUGAAUAACCAGGACCAUAACAGAGUCAGACUAAAUAAUAAUUAUAACUAAAACACAAACGAGUCUCUGACUGAGCAGGUGAGAAAAACUUACAUGAUUAUAUUUAAGUCGUUUGUUUGUCUUAGCGUCCUGAAAAUCCUCAGAGCUUCAGUCGCCAACUGAAGUCGUAUCCUCCGAUCGUAGCUGAUCGUAACCAUUCAAGUUAACGUGUCAAUUUACACCGACUUCUUUCCGUUCCUCUGCGGAUCGCCGGACUCCUCAGCUGAUCACAAGAGUUCUAUUUUUUCUGGACGCCGGAGCAUGGCGGAUAAAUUCAGCACAGAUUAACCCGUGCUGGAAAGGAAGUCGGGCACAGACACAAAAUAAAACAUCCGGCUUCUUUUCAAAAUAAAACACUCCGUGUUUCAGGAGGAUCGUAUUUCACACCAUGCAAACGGGCGGAGACGAACAAGUGAAAGGUUUUUAGACGUCAUUUCACCCCGAUGACACCAUGGAUGAGGAGAUGCUGAUUCUAGAAGUCUAGAAGUAGAUUUCCUCCUCUGGAAGGACACAAUCUACUGCUUAUAUGUCUAUGUGUCUGUCUUUAGAGAGACAACUCGUUAUCGUGAGAUUGGACAUGAAUCUGCGGGUUCUUGUGAGAAAUCCGACUUCAGGCGGACGUUCCAGAUGAAUUUCCAACUUCCAAGUACAACUGGAACGCACCUUUACUCUCCAUCAGUGAGCGGUACUUGAUAUGGGGGCGUGUCCAUCUCCUCUCCCCUCAGUCCUCUCUCCUAGCAGGUCUGUGACUACGCUCAGAUCUGACUGGAGACCUUUGGAGGACCUGUGGAGAUGCAGGGAGAGCACUCCUGAUUGUUUGACAGAGAUCGUCUGCAGAGGAGACCAUGAGGACAUCUGACCAACAUGCUGUUAAAGGUCAAAGUUCAGAAAGCAAAAGACCUUCACAGUCAGAGAGGGUCCACAGCUGAAGAACCUGAGAUGUCUGCUGAAGUUCAAACUCAAACCUGAGUGUUCCUGUCUGUGACCAAAGAUGGAGAGAACAUCUGAAGGAGCUGGAACUGUGUGGUGGAAAGCAGCGUGGAGGAGUUCCACCUGUUCUAAAUAAAGUGAAGCUGCAGACGAACAGAGACACAUCGCCUUCACAGGAAGUGCUCACAUCUUCUUCUUCCUCUGUGGUGGUUUCUAAAACAGAAACCGUCACCUCCACCCUGAACCCACAGACCUCCCACCACCGCCGCUCCGUCCGUCCGUCUGCACACAGAUGACACACUCGCAGUUUCCUCGCUGUCACGGCUCGUCCUCCUUCGGCACGUUUUUCACACACAGACGCACUUCUCUGUCGGCGUGAUGCCCACCGUGAGACCACGCCAUGAGACCACGCCAUGAGACCCCACGUCGACCCCGAUCAGGGUCAGGUCUGCCCCCCCUGUGAAGAUCCUCCUCAUCCUCAGGAACCAUGAUCCAUCCUCAUGAUCCAUCCUGCUGCUACAAACAGAACAGAG